Molecule: ribosomal RNA, 449 nt
Filed under: uncultured bacterium
Lineage: Bacteria
Description: bacterial SSU rRNA
Rfam family: Bacterial small subunit ribosomal RNA
Source: RNAcentral
GAUGAACGCUAGCGGCAGGCCUAACACAUGCAAGUCGAGGGAGAAGCCCUUCGGGGCAGAAACCGGCGCACGGGUGCGUAACGCGUAUGCAACCUACCUUUCACAGGGGGAUUGCCCGAAGAAAUUUGGAUUAAUACCCCAUAAUAUUAUUGGAUGGCAUCAUUUGAUAAUUAAAACUGAGGUGGUGAAAGAUGGGCAUGCGUCCUAUUAGCUAGUUGGAGUGGUAACGGCACCCCAAGGCUACGAUAGGUAGGGGUCCUGAGAGGGAGAUCCCCCACACUGGUACUGAGACAGGGACCAGACUCCUACGGGAGGCAGCAGUGAGGAAUAUUGGUCAAUGGUCGGAAGACUGAACCAGCCAUGCCGCGUGCAGGAAGAAUGCCUUAUGGGCUGUAAACUGCUUUUAUAUGGGAAGAAUAAGGAGUACGUGUACUUNGANGACGGUNCCA